RNAcentral lists this ribosomal RNA (252 nucleotides) under uncultured bacterium. RNAcentral's name for it is "partial 16S ribosomal RNA". It matches the Rfam family "Bacterial small subunit ribosomal RNA", at positions 524 to 776 of the family's 1533-position model. The record is from RNAcentral.
UACGGAGGAUGCGAGCGUUAUCCGGAUUUAUUGGGUUUAAAGGGUGCGCAGGCGGCACGGCAAGCCGGCGGUCAAAUCGCGGGGCUCAACCCCGCCCAGCCGUCGGAACUGCCGGGCUAGAGUGGGCGAGAAGUGCGCGGAAUGCGUGGUGUAGCGGUGAAAUGCAUAGAUAUCACGCAGAACUCCGAUUGCGAAGGCAGAGCACCGGCGCCCUACUGACGCUCAGGCACGAAAGCGUGGGUAUCGAACAGG